Molecule: long non-coding RNA, 95 nt
Organism: Trachymyrmex septentrionalis
Lineage: Eukaryota; Metazoa; Arthropoda; Insecta; Hymenoptera; Formicidae
Exons: 3
Source: RefSeq, a predicted model, not a curated record
ACACAUGCAUACACACGUAAAAAAGACUAUUCUUAAAUCAACCAUAAUAUACUCAUACAUAAGCAAAAGUAUUAUAAUCUUAUUUCAAAGAUAUU